This 450-nucleotide ribosomal RNA is filed under the name uncultured bacterium. RNAcentral's name for it is "bacterial SSU rRNA". It matches the Rfam family "Bacterial small subunit ribosomal RNA", at positions 29 to 524 of the family's 1533-position model. The record is from RNAcentral.
AACGAACGCUGGCGGCAUGCCUAACACAUGCAAGUCGAACGAUGGCUUCGGCCAUAGUGGCGCACGGGUGCGUAACGCGUGGGAACCUGCCCUUAGGUUCGGAAUAACUCAGAGAAAUUUGAGCUAAUACCGGAUAAUGUCUUCGGACCAAAGAUUUAUCGCCUUUGGAUGGGCCCGCGUAGGAUUAGCUAGUUGGUGGGGUAAAGGCCUACCAAGGCGACGAUCCUUAGCUGGUCUGAGAGGAUGAUCAGCCACACUGGGACUGAGACACGGCCCAGACUCCUACGGGAGGCAGCAGUGGGGAAUAUUGGACAAUGGGCGAAAGCCUGAUCCAGCAAUGCCGCGUGAGUGAUGAAGGCCUUAGGGUUGUAAAGCUCUUUUACCCGGGAUGAUAAUGACAGUACCGGGAGAAUAAGCUCCGGCUAACUCCGUGCCAGCAGCCGCGGUAAU